This is a long non-coding RNA of Pollicipes pollicipes, 285 nucleotides long. RefSeq lists it as uncharacterized. The record is from RefSeq and is a predicted model, not a curated record. NCBI's taxonomy places the organism in Eukaryota, Metazoa, Arthropoda, Thecostraca, Pollicipedomorpha, Pollicipedidae. The transcript has 3 exons.
GCCUCAGGAUCGCGUCAUAGUCGCCGGAGAGCCGUUGUGUACGUUGGCUAUCGCGUGCGUUGGCUCGUUGUCGUCGGGCCGUGUGGACCACCCUUCAACGGGGCAGAAUGGGUCGAAUCUGGAUCGCAGCCCUCGUGGUCUGCUGCUGCUUCACAUACACCACGGCAGCCUACAAUAAUAAUAACAGACGUCUGCACCGCGUCAGCCUGAAUGAGCUGCGCCAGGUCAUUCGGGACGACCUCGUCGGGGUGGUGGAGAACGCACUCGUCUCCAUGGAGAUGGGCC